RNAcentral lists this ribosomal RNA (721 nucleotides) under Meloidogyne hapla. Its description in RNAcentral is "eukaryotic LSU rRNA". It matches the Rfam family "Eukaryotic large subunit ribosomal RNA", at positions 389 to 969 of the family's 3401-position model. Lineage: Eukaryota; Metazoa; Nematoda; Chromadorea; Rhabditida; Meloidogynidae. The record is from RNAcentral.
UUAUGAGGACGUGAAACCGGUGAGGAGGAAACGGAUAGAGUCGGCGUAUCUUGCAAGUAUUCAAUUACUUUAUUAUUGUGUUGUUAUCUCUGAGCUCCAGAUUGGGACAGAGGAAAGCAGCAUGAUUUAAUGUGAUGCAUUUACUUGUCUGCGUGUGGGGGUAUCUAAGAUGGAUUUGCAACCAAUGUUUUGAGGCCAGCUUGCUGGUACCCAAACAUUGUUAACAUUUUUUAUCUUGGAUAUUCGAGUACGGCUUACGUGCAUUUUUUGUAUUGAUCUAAGUGCAAGUUACCGUCGCAUGCGACACGUGCUUUUCAUUUAGUUCCGUGCAGUUAAUGCUCUCGUACUCUCCCCCCAUGUAAAAGCCGGUCAUCUAUUUGACCCGUCUUGAAACACCGACCAAGGAGUUUAUCGUGUGCGCAAGUUUUUGGGUGUUAAAAACCUAGAAGCGAAAUGAAAGUAAAUGAUUCUUUAGAGUCUGAUGUGCAAUCUUUUUUUCAAAAAGUGCAUCCAGGCCCCAUUCUAACUGUUUACCGUAGGGUGGCGGAAGAGCGUACGCGGUGAGACCCGAAAGAUGGUGAACUAUUCCUGAGCAGGACGAAACCAGAGGAAACUCUGGUGGAAGUCCGAAGCGGUUCUGACCUGCAAAUCGAUCGUCUGACUCGGGUAUAGGGGCGAAAGACUAAUCGAACCAUCUAGUAGCUGGUUUCCUUCCAAACUU